UACAGAGGUCUCAAGCGUUGUUCGGAUUCAUUGGGCGUAAAGGGUGCGUAGGCUGUGGGGUAAGUCUGGUGUGAAAUCCCGAGGCUCAACCCCGGAACUGCACUGGAUACUGCUUUACUAGAGCACUGGAGAGGGAACUGGAAUUUACGGUGUAGCAGUGAAAUGCGUAGAUAUCGUAAGGAAGACCAGUGGCGAAGGCGAGUUCCUGGACAGUUGCUGACGCUGAGGCACGAAGGCCAGGGGAGCAAACGGG
This 253-nucleotide ribosomal RNA is filed under the name uncultured bacterium. RNAcentral's name for it is "partial 16S ribosomal RNA". It matches the Rfam family "Bacterial small subunit ribosomal RNA", at positions 524 to 776 of the family's 1533-position model. The record is from RNAcentral.